This 332-nucleotide unclassified non-coding RNA is filed under the name soil metagenome. RNAcentral's name for it is "partial contains 5.8S ribosomal RNA, internal transcribed spacer 2, and large subunit ribosomal RNA". The stretch from base 1 to 120 matches the Rfam family "5.8S ribosomal RNA", at positions 35 to 154 of the family's 154-position model. The record is from RNAcentral.
GAUGAAGAACGCAGCGAAAUGCGAUAAGUAAUGUGAAUUGCAGAAUUCAGUGAAUCAUCGAAUCUUUGAACGCACAUUGCGCCCGCCAGUAUUCUGGCGGGCAUGCCUGUCCGAGCGUCAUUUCAACCAUCAAGCCCCGGGCUUGUGUUGGGGACCUGCGUCCGACGCAGGCCCUGAAAACCAGUGGCGGGCUCGCUGUCCACACCGAGCGUAGUAACUAACCUCGCUAUGGAGUGGCGCGGGCGCCUGCCGUAAAACCCCCAAUUUCAUAAGGUUGACCUCGGAUCAGGUAGGAAUACCCGCUGAACUUAAGCAUAUCAAUAAGCGGAGGA